UCCUUGGUGGCUCACAUGGUAAAGCAUCUGCCUGCAAUGCGGGAGACCCAGGUUCGAUCCCUGGGUUGGGAA
This 72-nucleotide transfer RNA is filed under the name Bos taurus (domestic cattle). It matches the Rfam family "tRNA". From Rfam's summary of the family: Transfer RNA (tRNA) molecules are approximately 80 nucleotides in length. Their secondary structure includes four short double-helical elements and three loops (D, anti-codon, and T loops). Further hydrogen bonds mediate the characteristic L-shaped molecular structure. tRNAs have two regions of fundamental functional importance: the anti-codon, which is responsible for specific mRNA codon recognition, and the 3' end, to which the tRNAs corresponding amino acid is attached (by aminoacyl-tRNA synthetases). tRNAs cope with the degeneracy of the genetic code in two manners: having more than one tRNA (with a specific anti-codon) for a particular amino acid; and 'wobble' base-pairing, i.e. permitting non-standard base-pairing at the 3rd anti-codon position. RNAcentral also lists the same sequence under 4 other names. The record is from Rfam by way of RNAcentral. Lineage: Eukaryota; Metazoa; Chordata; Mammalia; Artiodactyla; Bovidae.